CUCCCCGCAGCCAAACGCAUCCUUAGGUCUCUUCGCUGAUGACUUCUAUUUGUGGCGGUCAGGCUUUCACCCAAGCCCGAGGGGCCGUCCCCGCCACCCCCAUCAGACAGGACUCCCCCUCUGCUCCCCUCCUCGUCCCCCUGCCCCUGCCUCCCCGCCUUCACCCUGUGCGGGUACUGCUGCCCCGAGCGCCCGGAUCGCCCACCGUCCCUCCCCCCAUCCGCAUCCGAGCGCCUCUGCUCCCCAGGGCGCCGCACGCAGCCAGGGGCCAGGCGGGAAGCCGGAGCCCGCCGCCUGCCCAGGGCCGCGGGUAGCUUCUCCGCGGUCCCGCGCGGCACCCUCUUCGGGCACCAGCUCCUGAACUUGGCCGGAAACGAACCCGUCCUCUAGAGCGGAAAGCUGCCGGCUUGUUGGGUGCUAGCAAGAGUCUAUCCAGGGUCGAGGUUCGGUGUGUUUGUUUCCACGUGCCUCUGUCCUAACCGGCUCCGCCCCCAAUUUUCAAGUGUACAAGCUCGCCUUCCGCGCCAACUGUUGGAGUUCACCGUGGUGACCAUCUGACAUGUCUCAAACAGCUGCCUCAAAGCAUCCUUCCUCCAGAUGCCCCCUUCCCACCUUCCAGGGUGAGAACGUGUUCCUUUAACACUCAGCAAACCUAGGAUGGGGACAAGGGAACUCAUGUGCAGUCGGGGGAGCAAGGGAACGAAAACACAGUCACUGCCCUCGAGGGACUUCUGAUUUUGUGGGAGAUACGGACGGGCAAGCAGCUGCCCAGGAGAUACCUGUCAUUGCUGUUUGCCAGUUGCAUCCUGGGGAGAAAGCAGGGCUAUAAAACAAGCAAACACACAAAGAAGAAUAUGCGACAGAAACUAGAUGUCCACCCUGUGGCCAUGUGUGAUCUGUGAACCAUCUCUUCUGUUGGCUGCAGGAAUCCUGGUGAAAGGUGCCUUUUCUUCCAUCCAGGCAGCAGUGACAAGAGGCAAGCAUAAAAUUAUGACACAGGUUACAAUUGCUGGUGAAAUACAGGUACCUACCUCCCACGGGGAGAAGCUGUUGAGAGAACCGGCUGGGACACCAUCUCAGAAAAAAAUCAAUAAAGUCAGCUGUCCUAAUAAAUACAACAUUUCAACAAUGUUAGUCAAAGACUCUUAAGGCUUGCUGUGUGCUGUUUGCAACACUGGAAGGUGACACAGAGAUGUUGGCCUCUUCCUAGGGG
This is a long non-coding RNA of Mesoplodon densirostris (Blainville's beaked whale), 1213 nucleotides long. RefSeq lists it as uncharacterized. The transcript is spliced from 5 exons. Lineage: Eukaryota; Metazoa; Chordata; Mammalia; Artiodactyla; Ziphiidae. The record is from RefSeq and is a predicted model, not a curated record.